CCGCCCUCGUGAUGUCUUCCACACCGUCCCCGACCACCGAGACGGAGACGCAGUCCGCCUCGUUCGUCGGCGGCCCUUCCUCCGCUUCGUCUUGCAAGCCAUAGUACAUCGCCCGUAAGAUGUGCCGUCGCAGGCAGCGACAAAGGGAGUUGGGUGGAUAGGUACAUGCGGGCGUCGUUGACGAGAUGUCUCCCCCGGCGUGCUGGGCUCCCCUCACUCCAUCCAUGUAGGCGCUGGCGCAGACUGUGCUAUCCGGCACCGUCGAGACCAAGGAGGAGGAGGAUGAGACGGCCGUCUGGACCCUUCCGGAGAGCUUUCCGGCCACUCAACAGCUAUCGGUCCAUGAGUGUGAGUCCCUGCAGCUCGUUCGGGAGCGGGUGAGCACGAGUAACCCCACCACCCGGGCUGGACUCGGCAUGUUCGACAAAAUGUCUCAACAAGACCGGGUAGAUUUUCUCAUGUCCGAUUUAAUGAUUAAUAUUUCGUAUAGCUCACUAGUUCACACAAGAUAAUUGCUUGCAAACCAUGAACAUGUAGGAGACAUACUAGGCAAGUAUGAUCAUUGAGAAUGAAGAUCCGGCCCAUGUGAAAUAUGAAAUGGAGGAGGCGGGCGCAUUUGUGAUUGGGGCAACAUCAUUCUCGCGGAUGAAUCCAUUUUAGAUGAACAUGCAAAAAAUGGCUUGUGGGCGGGAAUAAGGAGAUCAAUGAUCUGGAGCGUUGAAGACGGCGGCUACGGUUGCGGCAGCGGAGCAUGCGGCCAGGAUGCAGGCGGUGGAGGCAGCCCGGAUGCAGGUGGCGACUGUUGCCAGGAUGCAGGCGAAGGAGGCAGUCCGGAUGUAGGCGGAGAUGGAUGCCCAGGCGGAGCAGGACGCGUGGACGAACUCAUCCGGCUAGUGAUCCGACAACACUUGUCGAUCGGACAUUAAUUUCAUUCUGGGAUAUCGGUUUGGUUGAACUAUGAUAUCAUUUGCUUUUAUUUAAAACUGUUGAAUUCUAUGUAUCGAAUAAUCGUCGUGCAUUGCUUUAUAUGAAUUUAGAAGUUUGAAUAUAAGGCAUGUGAAUACACGAAA
RNAcentral lists this long non-coding RNA (1070 nucleotides) under Hordeum vulgare. Its description in RNAcentral is "long non-coding RNA (HVUL_LNC008306)". Lineage: Eukaryota; Viridiplantae; Streptophyta; Magnoliopsida; Poales; Poaceae. The record is from RNAcentral.